RNAcentral lists this ribosomal RNA (757 nucleotides) under Argasidae sp. RNAcentral describes it as "SSU rRNA". It matches the Rfam family "Eukaryotic small subunit ribosomal RNA", at positions 509 to 1269 of the family's 1831-position model. The record is from RNAcentral. Lineage: Eukaryota; Metazoa; Arthropoda; Arachnida; Ixodida; Argasidae.
AUGGAAUGAGUACACUCUAAACCCUUUAACGAGGAUCAAUUGGAGGGCAAGUCUGGUGCCAGCAGCCGCGGUAAUUCCAGCUCCAAUAGCGUAUGCUAAAGCUGCUGCGGUUAAAAAGCUCGUAGUUGGAUCUCAGUUGCGGGCGGGUGGUGCAUCUACCCGAUGUGACGGCCCGAACUGAACAUCUUGCCUUCUAUCCUCUGGUGUCCUUCACUGGAUGCCUUUGGGUGGUCGGUGCAUUUACUUUGAAAAAAUUGGAGUGCUCAACGCAGGCGAAGUGCCUGAACACUUAUGCAUGGAAUAAUAGAAUAAGACCUCGUUUCUGUUCUGUUGGUCUUUGGAAAACGAGGUAAUGAUCAAAAGGGACUGCCGGGGGCAUUCGUAUUGCGGCGCUAGAGGUGAAAUUCUUGGACCGUCGCAAGACGAACUACAGCGAAAGCAUUUGCCAAGAAUGUUUUCAUUGAUCAAGAACGAAAGUUAGAGGUUCGAAGGCGAUCAGAUACCGCCCUAGUUCUAACCAUAAACGAUGCCAACCAGCAUUCCGCCUGAGUUACUCCAAUGACUCUGCGGGCAGCUUCCGGGAAACCAAAGUAUUUGGGUUCCGGGGGAAGUAUGGUUGCAAAGCUGAAACUUAAAGGAAUUGACGGAAGGGCACCACCAGGAGUGGAGCCUGCGGCUCAAUUUGACUCAACACGGGAAAACUUACCCGGCCCGGACACUGGGUGGAUUGACAGAUUGAGAGCUCUUUCUUGAUCGG